Molecule: ribosomal RNA, 275 nt
Filed under: uncultured prokaryote
Description: partial 16S ribosomal RNA
Rfam family: Bacterial small subunit ribosomal RNA
Source: RNAcentral
UACGGAGGAUCCGAGCGUUAUCCGGAUUUAUUGGGUUUAAAGGGCGCGCAGGCGGGGGAUUAAGUCGGCGGUGAAAUUUUGCAGCUCAACUGUAAAAGUGCCUUCGAAACUGGUUUCCUUGAGUGUAGAUGAAGUAGGCGGAAUUUGUGGUGUAGCGGUGAAAUGCUUAGAUAUCACGAGGAACUCCGAUUGCGCAGGCAGCUUACUAAACUACUACUGACGCUCAGGCACGAAGGCGUGGGGAUCAAACAGGAUUAGAUACCCUGGUAGUCCCU